GACGAACGCUGGCGGCGUGCCUAAUACAUGCAAGUCGAACGAACAGACCAUGAUUUUGCUCCUCGGACGAUAGCGGAACACGGGAGAAUCACACGAGUAUCCCCUCCCUGUCUUACUGAUAUCUCCUCGAGACUGCGGAUCUUACCCCAUAUAACCUCCUGCACCGCGUGGGUCAUCGGAAAAUACGGUCUUGUGUGUCACUUACUCAUGGAUCCUCGCCUUGUUAGCUAGGUAGUGACGUACCGGCUUUUCGACGCAACGACGCCCAGACAACCUGACAGGGCGAUCUGCCACUCAGAUACUGACACAACUCCUACACUCCUACGGGAGGCAGAAUAUUGCAAUCUUCCCCAAUGCCUGAUACCCUGACGGCGCAACCCCGAUGACGUGAUUAAGGUCUUCAGAUCCUUUCACUCUGUUCUAAGCGAAAAACACAUGUGUGAGUAACUAUGCACCUCUUGACUGACACCUCAUCAGACCGCCACGAUUCACUACGUGCCAGCAUCCUCGGUAUUUACUUGGGUGGCAAGCGUUCUCCGGAAUUAUAGCGCGUCAAACGCGCGAUACUCGGUCUUUAACCCCUAAUGUGAAAGCCCACGGCUCAACCGCGGAGGGUCAUUGGAAACUGGAAAACUUGAGUGCAGAAGAGGAAAGUGGAAUUCCCUGUGUAGCGGUGAAAUGCGCAGAAAUAUGGAGGAACACCCGUGGCGAAGGCGACUUUCUGGUCUGUAACUGACGCUGAUGUGCGAAAGCGUGGGGAUCAAACAGGAUUAGAUACCCUGGUAGUCCACGCCGUAAACGAUGAGUGCUAAGUGUUAGGGGGUUUCCGCCCCUUAGUGCUGCAGCUAACGCAUUAAGCACUCCGCCUGGGGAGUACGACCGCAAGGUUGAAACUCACAGGAAUUGACGGGGACCCGCACAAGCGGUGGAGCAUGUGGUUUAAUUCUAAGCAACGCGAAGAACCUUACCAAAUCUUGACAUCCUCUGACCCCUCUAGAGAUAGAGUUUUCCCCUUCGGGGGACAGAGUGACAGGUGGUGCAUGGUUGUCCCCAGCUCGUGUCGUGAGAUGUUGGGUUAAGUCCCGCAACGAGCGCAGCACCCUUAAGCUGUAGGUGCCAUCAUUAAGUUGGGCACUCUAAGUUGACUGCCGGUGACAAACCGGAGAAAGGGGGGGAUGACGUCAAAUCAUCAUGCCCCUUAAGUACAGGGGCUACACACGUGCUACAAUGGACAAUACAAAGGGUAGCGAAAUCGCGAGGUCAAGCAAUUUCCGAAAACCGGUUUCCAUUUGGGAUGGUAUUUGCCACUUGGCCUCCAGAAAUCGGGGAUGGUUGUUAUUGCAGAUCAACCACGCUACGGUGAAUACGUUCCCGGGUCU
This 1379-nucleotide ribosomal RNA is filed under the name uncultured bacterium. RNAcentral describes it as "partial 16S ribosomal RNA". It matches the Rfam family "Bacterial small subunit ribosomal RNA", at positions 28 to 1381 of the family's 1533-position model. The record is from RNAcentral.